Molecule: ribosomal RNA, 256 nt
Filed under: Anaplasma platys
Lineage: Bacteria; Pseudomonadati; Pseudomonadota; Alphaproteobacteria; Rickettsiales; Anaplasmataceae
Description: partial 16S ribosomal RNA
Rfam family: Bacterial small subunit ribosomal RNA
Source: RNAcentral
AGUGGCAGACGGGUGAGUAAUGCAUAGGAAUCUACCUAGUAGUAUGGGAUAGCCACUAGAAAUGGUGGGUAAUACUGUAUAAUCCCUGCGGGGGAAAGAUUUAUCGCUAUUAGAUGAGCCUAUGUUAGAUUAGCUAGUUGGUAGGGUAAAGGCCUACCAAGGCAGUGAUCUAUAGCUGGUCUGAGAGGAUGAUCAGCCACACUGGAACUGAGAUACGGCCCAGUACUCCUACGGGAGGUUGAGGUAUUGAUAAAUG